This 235-nucleotide long non-coding RNA is filed under the name Pan troglodytes (chimpanzee). RNAcentral describes it as "long non-coding RNA NONPTRT005786". Lineage: Eukaryota; Metazoa; Chordata; Mammalia; Primates; Hominidae. The record is from RNAcentral.
CAUGAAGAUGCUCAUCACAGCAGUAUUUUAAAAAUAAAAUGGAAACAAACCCUUAAAGACAUUUUAAUGUAUGUUUUAAACUAAAAGUAUGAAAUAAAAUUUAAAUAAAAAACAUGAAAUCAUUAAAAAUGAUAACCAGAAAAAUUUUAGUAAAAUGGAAAAUGCUUGUGUUUCAAUGUUAAAAGAACAAAAACCUAGCAAACAAAAUUGUAUGUAAAGUAAAACUACACAUGAA